Molecule: ribosomal RNA, 484 nt
Filed under: uncultured bacterium
Lineage: Bacteria
Description: partial 16S ribosomal RNA
Rfam family: Bacterial small subunit ribosomal RNA
Source: RNAcentral
AUUGAACGCUGGCGGCAGGCCUAACACAUGCAAGUCGAGCGGAUGAAGGGAGCUUGCUCCUGGAUUCAGCGGCGGACGGGUGAGUAAUGCCUAGGAAUCUGCCUGGUAGGGGGGGAUAACGUCCGGAAACGGGCGCUAAUACCGCAUACGUCCUGAGGGAGAAAGUGGGGGAUCUUCGGACCGCACGCUCUCAGAUGAGCCGAGGUCGGAUUAGCUAGUUGGUGGGGUAAAGGCCUACCAAGGCGACGAUCCGUAACUGGUCUGAGAGGAUGAUCAGUCACACUGGAACUGAGACACGGUCCAGACUCCUACGGGAGGCAGCAGUGGGGAAUAUUGGACAAUGGGCGAAAGCCUGAUCCAGCCAUGCCGCGUGUGUGAAGAAGGUCUUCGGAUUGUAAAGCACUUUAAGUUGGGAGGAAGGGCAGUAAGUUAAUACCUUGCUGUUUUGACGUUACCAACAGAAUAAGCACCGGCUAACUUCGUG